This is a long non-coding RNA of Aricia agestis (brown argus), 600 nucleotides long. RefSeq lists it as uncharacterized. The transcript has 3 exons. The record is from RefSeq and is a predicted model, not a curated record. Lineage: Eukaryota; Metazoa; Arthropoda; Insecta; Lepidoptera; Lycaenidae.
GAUAUUACAUAUUAGCCGUUACGAUAAUAACGUACCUAGUUAAAACGUCCUUAGGGCGUGCGUUCACCGUACGUCCAUCUAUCCAUUUUUGACAUUUUAACUCUAAUUGUCAUCGCAGUUGUGCUUAAAUUUAAAUUUUAUAAUGGAUUAAUUAUUAUCGAUGCACACUGCUGUAACUAAAAUAUUAUUAAAAUAACAACCUUUCUCUUUCUUAAGGCGGCCUAAGUAAGCUCCCAACCAUUGUCAAAUCAGUUUCCAGCACAAUUGUAAACGGCGAUGGCACUUGAAAUGUCAAAAAUGGAUGGACGGCCGUUCUGUAAAUUCACACCCUUAUACUCUUAAUCCUAUGUAAACAGAUAUACGAUUACAUUAACAGACAUGUGACCUUGCGAUGCGUUAUCGACUAAUCUUACAUUAAGAAAGACGUAUCCGACCUAUAUCACCGAUUUAAUAUUGAACACCAAUUUUUAGCAUCUAAAAGCGAUAUAAAACGAUUUCUCACCGUGUAGUUUUCAUGAUUGGUGCGAAAAACACGUGAUUUCCAAACAUGUCAAAUGAACCUUUACAUUUUGUGUAUGGAGUGAGGCGUUUUGUUUGAAA